GUGCCAGCCGCCGCGGUAAAACGUAGGUGGCAAGCGUUAUCCGGAUUUACUGGGCGUAAAGCGUGUGCAGACGGGGCUUCAAGUGGUGUAUGAAAUCGCUCGGCUCAACCGGGCGCGGGUAUGCCAGACUGGAGUGCUAGAGGGUGCGAGAGGGACGUGGAAUUCCGGGUGUAGUGGUGAAAUGCGUAGAGAUCCGGAGGAACCCCUGAGGCGAAGGCGGCGUCCUGGCGCACUUCUGACGUUCAGACACGACAGCAUGGGGAGCGAACGGGAUUAGAAACCCCCGUAGUCC
RNAcentral lists this ribosomal RNA (292 nucleotides) under uncultured bacterium. RNAcentral's name for it is "partial 16S ribosomal RNA". It matches the Rfam family "Bacterial small subunit ribosomal RNA", at positions 505 to 796 of the family's 1533-position model. The record is from RNAcentral.